UACGUAGUGGAUGUUCAAACACGCAUGCGCCGUGAAUAUAAUGUUACGCGCAUGCGCGGUGGUGUGUUGUUAUUGGUGAACAAUCGCACGUGCUUUGGUAUUUCAAGAAGAAUCUGCCGAAAAACGAUGGAUUAUUUAACAACAGUGAUUGUAUAAAGAUUUGACUGGAUUUGGCAAGAUGCCCUUGCUCAUUAAAGAAGAUGGAGAUGUGGCUUUCCUCAGACUGUCUCUGACAUGCCAGCUUUUUCACCAUGUUGUUAGUGAAGCAUCUUUCAGAGAAAAGGCUCAUGUUGUCUGGCUUGACAGUGUUGUCAACUGGAACACAUUCUCCAUGGUGUAGAGAUUUAUUUACAGACUGUCCACCUGGUCGAGUUGGAGGAAGGGUGUCCCAGGGAGGAAUUGUUCAUCUAUUCUGCAUCAGUAAAGCAGUGGUGGCGUGGCACUGACCUUAAACUAUUUAAGAUCAAACUGUGACAAAAGCUUUACCUGACCUGACUGCAGUCAGUUAUAUGUGACCUUGCCUGUGAAAAAACAGGAUAAGUCUUGAAAUGUAAUUAUGAUAUAUUGAGCAUCAAAGUGUUAUUUUCAUUAAUCUCACAUUGAUUUUGAUAUUUGACAUGAUUUUACUCAGUCAACCCCACACACCCAGACAACACUUUCUUUGAACUUUUGCCCUUUGGCGCUACAGAGCACUGAAUACUAGACACAACAACCGUUUGUUCCUCAGGCUAAAACCUAAACAAUAAAAGCACCCAUUACUUCCACACCUGUAACUGUAUAUUGUUUAUAAUCACCACAUACUGUACAUCUGUAAAUACUAUUCUAAACUGUAAAUAUCACCUAUUAUCUAUCUGUACAAUAACAGCAUCUGAACAUCCAUACAUGCAUCACUACACACAAUUGUAAAAAAGGAGAAAAUGUAUACAUGUACUUA
Molecule: non-coding RNA, 934 nt
Organism: Paramisgurnus dabryanus
Lineage: Eukaryota; Metazoa; Chordata; Actinopteri; Cypriniformes; Cobitidae
Source: RefSeq, a predicted model, not a curated record